This 800-nucleotide ribosomal RNA is filed under the name Acinetobacter baumannii. Its description in RNAcentral is "bacterial LSU rRNA". It matches the Rfam family "Bacterial large subunit ribosomal RNA", at positions 2149 to 2925 of the family's 2925-position model. Lineage: Bacteria; Pseudomonadati; Pseudomonadota; Gammaproteobacteria; Moraxellales; Moraxellaceae. The record is from RNAcentral.
GGGAGGCUUUGAAGCUGGAACGCUAGUUCCAGUGGAGCCGUCCUUGAAAUACCACCCUGGUAAUGUUGAGGUUCUAACUCUGUCCCGUGAUCCGGGACGAGGACCGUGUCUGGUGGGUAGUUUGACUGGGGCGGUCUCCUCCUAAAGWGUAACGGAGGAGUACGAAGGUGCGCUCAGCGUGGUCGGAAAUCACGCGUAGAGUAUAAAGGCAAAAGCGCGCUUAACUGCGAGACCCACAAGUCGAGCAGGUACGAAAGUAGGUCUUAGUGAUCCGGUGGUUCUGUAUGGAAGGGCCAUCGCUCAACGGAUAAAAGGUACUCUGGGGAUAACAGGCUGAUACCGCCCAAGAGUUCAUAUCGACGGCGGUGUUUGGCACCUCGAUGUCGGCUCAUCUCAUCCUGGGGCUGAAGCAGGUCCCAAGGGUAUGGCUGUUCGCCAUUUAAAGAGGUACGCGAGCUGGGUUUAGAACGUCGUGAGACAGUUCGGUCCCUAUCUACCGUGGGCGCUGGAAAUUUGAGAGGAUCUGCUCCUAGUACGAGAGGACCAGAGUGGACGAACCUCUGGUGUACCGGUUGUGACGCCAGUCGCAUCGCCGGGUAGCUAUGUUCGGAAGGGAUAACCGCUGAAAGCAUCUAAGCGGGAAGCCUACCUCAAGAUAAGAUUUCCCUAGGACUUUAUGUCCUCUAAAGAGCCGUUCGAGACUAGGACGUUGAUAGGUUGGAUGUGGAAGCAUAGUGAUAUGUGAAGCUGACCAAUACUAAUUGCUCGUGAGGCUUGACUAUACAACACCCAAGCAGUUG